GGGCUGUCCAUUUCAUCCAGGUACCAUUAAUGAUCUCCAAGACCAAAUUGACUCCUUAGCUGAAGUUGUUCUACAAAAUAGGAGAAGGUUAGACUUACUCAGAGCAGAGCAGGGAGGGAUAUGCUUAGCC
Pipistrellus kuhlii (Kuhl's pipistrelle) is the source of this 130-nucleotide long non-coding RNA. RefSeq lists it as uncharacterized. Lineage: Eukaryota; Metazoa; Chordata; Mammalia; Chiroptera; Vespertilionidae. The record is from RefSeq and is a predicted model, not a curated record. The transcript has 3 exons.